This 71-nucleotide transfer RNA is filed under the name Loxodonta africana (African savanna elephant). It matches the Rfam family "tRNA". From Rfam's summary of the family: Transfer RNA (tRNA) molecules are approximately 80 nucleotides in length. Their secondary structure includes four short double-helical elements and three loops (D, anti-codon, and T loops). Further hydrogen bonds mediate the characteristic L-shaped molecular structure. tRNAs have two regions of fundamental functional importance: the anti-codon, which is responsible for specific mRNA codon recognition, and the 3' end, to which the tRNAs corresponding amino acid is attached (by aminoacyl-tRNA synthetases). tRNAs cope with the degeneracy of the genetic code in two manners: having more than one tRNA (with a specific anti-codon) for a particular amino acid; and 'wobble' base-pairing, i.e. permitting non-standard base-pairing at the 3rd anti-codon position. The record is from Rfam by way of RNAcentral. Lineage: Eukaryota; Metazoa; Chordata; Mammalia; Proboscidea; Elephantidae.
GCAGUGGUGGUUCAGUGGUAGAAUUCUCACUUCCUGUGUGGGAGACUCAGGUUCAGUUCCUGGCUACUGCC